Molecule: ribosomal RNA, 208 nt
Filed under: uncultured bacterium
Lineage: Bacteria
Description: partial 16S ribosomal RNA
Rfam family: Bacterial small subunit ribosomal RNA
Source: RNAcentral
UGCGUAGGCGGAUCAGGAAGUGUUUCGUGAAAACCCCCGGCUCAACCGGGGAACUGCGGGGCAAACUCCUGAUCUUGAGGGAAGUAUGGGCGGACAGAACUAUCGGUGGAGCGGUGAAAUGCGUAGAUAUCGAUAGGAAUGCCGAUGGCGAAGGCGGUCCGCUGGGCUUCUCCUGACGCUCAGGCACGAAAGCGUGGGGAAGCAAACA